Molecule: ribosomal RNA, 433 nt
Filed under: uncultured bacterium
Lineage: Bacteria
Description: partial 16S ribosomal RNA
Rfam family: Bacterial small subunit ribosomal RNA
Source: RNAcentral
AACGAACGCUGGCGGCAGGCCUAACACAUGCAAGUCGAGCGAGGCCUUCGGGUCUAGCGGCGGACGGGUGAGUAACGCGUGGGAACGUGCCCUUUUCUACGGAAUAGCCUCGGGAAACUGAGCGUAAUACCGUAUACGCCCUUUGGGGGAAAGAUUUAUCGGAGAAGGAUCGGCCCGCGUUGGAUUAGGUAGUUGGUGGGGUAAUGGCCUACCAAGCCUACGAUCCAUAGCUGGUUUGAGAGGAUGAUCAGCCACACUGGGACUGAGACACGGCCCAGACUCCUACGGGAGGCAGCAGUGGGGAAUCUUAGACAAUGGGGGCAACCCUGAUCUAGCCAUGCCGCGUGAGUGAUGAAGGCCUUAGGGUUGUAAAGCUCUUUCAGCUGGGAAGAUAAUGACGGUACCAGCAGAAGAAGCCCCGGCUAACUCCGUG